RNAcentral lists this ribosomal RNA (450 nucleotides) under uncultured bacterium. RNAcentral describes it as "partial 16S ribosomal RNA". It matches the Rfam family "Bacterial small subunit ribosomal RNA", at positions 354 to 796 of the family's 1533-position model. The record is from RNAcentral.
GUGGGGAAUAUUGCACAAUGGACGAAAGUCUGACGGAGCAACGCCGCGUGAACGAUGAAGGCUUUCGGGUCGUAAAGUUCUGUUGUCAGGGAAGAACAAGUACCGGAGUAACUGCCGGUACCUUGACGGUACCUGACCAGAAAGCCACGGCUAACUACGUGCCAGCAGCCGCGGUAAUACGUAGGUGGCAAGCGUUGUCCGGAAUUAUUGGGCGUAAAGCGCGCGCAGGCGGCCUCUUAAGUCUGAUGUGAAGGCCCCCGGCUCAACCGGGGGGGGCCAUUGGAAACUGGGAGGCUUGAGUAUAGGAGAGAAGAGUGGAAUUCCACGUGUAGCGGUGAAAUGCGUAGAGAUGUGGAGGAACACCAGUGGCGAAGGCGACUCUCUGGACUGUAACUGACGCUGAGGCUCGAAAGCGUGGGGAGCAAACAGGAUUAGAAACCCGGGUAGUCC